UAGAUAGUUGGUGGGGUAACGGCCUACCAAGUCGACGAUCAGUAGCCGGACUGAGAGGUUGAACGGCCACAUUGGGACUGAGAUACGGCCCAGACUCCUACGGGAGGCAGCAGUCGGGAAUAUUGCGCAAUGGAGGAAACUCUGACGCAGUGACGCCGCGUGCAGGAAGAAGGUUUUCGGAUUGUAAACUGCUUUAGACAGGGAAGAUACAAGACAGUACCUGUAGAAUAAGCUCCGGCUAACUACGUGCCAGCAGCCGCGGUAAUACGUAGGGAGCAAGCGUUAUCCGGAUUUAUUGGGUGUAAAGGGUGCGUAGACGGGAAAUUAAGUUAGUUGUGAAAUCCCUCGGCUUAACUGAGGAACUGCAACUAAAACUGGUUUUCUUGAGUGCUGGAGAGGAAAGUGGAAUUCCUAGUGUAGCGGUGAAAUGCGUAGAUAUUAGGAGGAACACCAGUGGCGAAGGCGACUUUCUGGACAGUAACUGACGUUGAGGCACGAAAGUGUGGGGAGCAAACAGGAUUAGAUACCCUGGUAGUCCACACCGUAAACGAUGGAUACUAGGUGUAGGAUGUGAUAAACAUUCUGUGCCGUCGCAAACGCAGUAA
RNAcentral lists this ribosomal RNA (605 nucleotides) under uncultured bacterium. RNAcentral describes it as "bacterial SSU rRNA". It matches the Rfam family "Bacterial small subunit ribosomal RNA", at positions 242 to 863 of the family's 1533-position model. The record is from RNAcentral.